Molecule: ribosomal RNA, 630 nt
Filed under: uncultured Planctomycetia bacterium
Lineage: Bacteria; Pseudomonadati; Planctomycetota; Planctomycetia
Description: bacterial SSU rRNA
Rfam family: Bacterial small subunit ribosomal RNA
Source: RNAcentral
CAAGUCGGACGUCCCGCAAGGGACGUGGCGCAAGGGUGAGUAAGGCGACGGUAACCAACCGAAGGGACGGGCAUAGUCAGGGGAAACCCUGGGUAAUUCCCGGCGACGUCGCGGCCUGGCAUCGGGCUGCGACCAAAGGUGCGAUUCCGCCCUUUGACGGGCCGUCGUGGUAUCAGGUUGUUGGUGGGGUGACGGCCCACCAAGCCGAGGACGCCUACCGGGCGUGCGAGCGUGGCCCGGCACACUGGGACUGAGACACUGCCCAGACUCCUACGGGAGGCUGCAGUCGAGAAUCUUCGGCAAUGGGCGCAAGCCUGACCGAGCGACGCCGCGUGGAGGACUAAGGCCUUCGGGUUGUAAACUCCUGUCGAGGGGGAACAAGGGGGCGUGAAGAACGUCUCUUGAGUGAUCCCUGGAGGAAGCACGGGCUAAGUUCGUGCCAGCAGCCGCGGUAAGACGAACCGUGCGAACGUUAUUCGGAAUCACUGGGCUUAAAGCGCGUGUAGGCGGGCCGGCACGUCGAUGGCUGAAAUCCCCCGGCUCAACCGGGGAAGUGGCCUCGAUACGACCGGCCUGGAGGGGGGUAGGGGGCGCCGGAACUUCCGGUGGAGCGGUGAAAUGCGUUGAGAU